Molecule: ribosomal RNA, 484 nt
Filed under: uncultured bacterium
Lineage: Bacteria
Description: partial 16S ribosomal RNA
Rfam family: Bacterial small subunit ribosomal RNA
Source: RNAcentral
AUUGAACGCUGGCGGCAUGCUUUACACAUGCAAGUCGAACGGCAACGGGGGCCUCGGCCUGGCGGCGAGUGGCACGCGGGAGAGUAAUGCAUCGGCACGUGCCCAGGAGGGGGGGAUAGACCCGCGAGAGCAGGAUAUAUCCCGCACACGAUCUGGGGGAGAAAGGGGGGGCGCAAAACGCCGCGCGAUAUUGGCGGGGGCGAUGUCGGAUUAGCUAGUUGGUGGGGUAAAGGCUUACCAAGGCGACGAUCUGUAGCUGGUCUGAGAGGACGACCAGCCACACUGGGACUGAGACACGGCCCAGACUCCUACGGGAGGCAGCAGUGGGGAAUUUUGGACAAUGGGGGCAACCCUGAUCCAGCCAUGCCGCGUGCGGGAAGAAGGCCUUCGGGUUGUAAACCGCUUUUGUUCGGGAAGAAAUCCUCUGGGCUAAUACCCCGGGGGGAUGACGGUACCGGAAGAAUAAGCACCGGCUAACUACGUG